RNAcentral lists this ribosomal RNA (253 nucleotides) under uncultured bacterium. RNAcentral's name for it is "partial 16S ribosomal RNA". It matches the Rfam family "Bacterial small subunit ribosomal RNA", at positions 524 to 776 of the family's 1533-position model. The record is from RNAcentral.
UACGGGGGGAGCAAGCGUUGUUCGGAUUUACUGGGCGUAAAGGGCGCGUAGGCGGCGUGACAAGUCACUUGUGAAAUCUCCGGGCUUAACUCGGAACGGUCAAGUGAUACUGUCGGACUAGAGUACAGAAGGGGCAACUGGAAUUCUCGGUGUAGCGGUGAAAUGCGUAGAUAUCGGGAGGAACACCAGUGGCGAAGGCGACUACCUGGCCUGUUCUUGACGCUGAGGCGCGAAAGCUAGGGGAGCAAACGGG